This 523-nucleotide ribosomal RNA is filed under the name uncultured Hanseniaspora. Its description in RNAcentral is "eukaryotic LSU rRNA". It matches the Rfam family "Eukaryotic large subunit ribosomal RNA", at positions 62 to 586 of the family's 3401-position model. Lineage: Eukaryota; Fungi; Ascomycota; Saccharomycetes; Saccharomycodales; Saccharomycodaceae. The record is from RNAcentral.
AAACCAACUGGGAUUACCUUAGUAACGGCGAGUGAAGCGGUAAAAGCUCAAAUUUGAAAUCUGGUACUUUCAGUGCCCGAGUUGUAAUUUGUAGAAUUUGUCUUUGAUUAGGUCCUUGUCUAUGUUCCUUGGAACAGGACGUCAUAGAGGGUGAGAAUCCCGUUUGGCGAGGAUACCUUUUCUCUGUAAGACUUUUUCGAAGAGUCGAGUUGUUUGGGAAUGCAGCUCAAAGUGGGUGGUAAAUUCCAUCUAAAGCUAAAUAUUGGCGAGAGACCGAUAGCGAACAAGUACAGUGAUGGAAAGAUGAAAAGAACUUUGAAAAGAGAGUGAAAAAGUACGUGAAAUUGUUGAAAGGGAAGGGCAUUUGAUCAGACAUGGUGUUUUUGCAUGCACUCGCCUCUCGUGGGCUUGGGCCUCUCAAAAAAUUUCACUGGGCCAACAUCAAUUCUGGCAGCAGGAUAAAUCAUUAAGAAUGUAGCUACUUCGGUAGUGUUAUAGCUUUUUGGAAUACUGUUAGCCGGGU